RNAcentral lists this transfer RNA (71 nucleotides) under Loxodonta africana (African savanna elephant). It matches the Rfam family "tRNA". From Rfam's summary of the family: Transfer RNA (tRNA) molecules are approximately 80 nucleotides in length. Lineage: Eukaryota; Metazoa; Chordata; Mammalia; Proboscidea; Elephantidae. The record is from Rfam by way of RNAcentral.
GCAUUGGUAGUUCAGUGGUAGAAUUCUCGCCUUCCACGCAGGAGACCCUAGUUUGAUUCCUGGCCAAUGUA